Long non-coding RNA from Quercus lobata, 117 nucleotides. RefSeq lists it as uncharacterized. The transcript has 2 exons. The record is from RefSeq and is a predicted model, not a curated record. Lineage: Eukaryota; Viridiplantae; Streptophyta; Magnoliopsida; Fagales; Fagaceae.
GGCCGAGCUUCAUCUUGCAACCACGCUACUGCCGGCGGCGGUGCAUAUAGACGGUGUUUACACCAUUGGUGGCCGCUGGUUGAUUGGCAUGAUUAAAGGAAUGCUAUUCUUGAUGUC